AAAAAAAAGGAAAAAAAAACUACAGACCACCAUCUCUGAUGAACAUAGAUAUAAAACUUCUCAAUAAAAUAUUUACAAAUAGAAUUCAAUAGCACAUACCAAAAAGAUCAUAUAUGCCAUGAUCAACUUGGUUUCAUUCUAGAGAUGCAAUGAUGUUUCAACAUAUUAUUCAAUAAACAUAAUAGAGCACAUAAAGAGAAUGAAGGGAAAAUAUCACUUGGUAUCAUUUGAUGAAAAAUCUCAAUUGGCAACAUUUCAAAGGCAGAAAUAGUCUUUAACAGAACAAUACAUUCCUCCAUGGUAAAACACCUGAAUAAAGUAGGUAUAGAAGGAUCAAACCUCAAUAUAAUUAAUGAUAUAUAUGACAAAGCCAUAGCCAAAAUCAUACUGAAUGGGGAAAAACUAAAAGCAUUUCCUCUAAGAUCAGGAUCAAGACAAGGGUACCCACUCUUACCACUCUUUUUCAAUAUAGUACUGGAAAUUUAGACUAAGCAAUCACUAACAGAAAGAAAGAAAAUGCAUAUAAAUAGGAAAGGAAGUCAAAUAAUCCCAGUUUACUAAAAUGAUUCUAUAUGUAGAAAAUCUUAAACACUUUACCAAAAGACUUUCAGAACUAAUAAAGUCAGUAAAAUAACAAUAUAAAAUCAACACAAAACAUCAGCAGCUUUUCUAUACAUCAAUAAUGAACUCACUGAGAAAGAAAUCAGGCAAGUAAAUCAUUCACAACAGUCACAAAACAAUAAUAAUAAUAUUACAUUAUUACAUAUGUGUGUGCACUUAUGUGUAUAUACAUGUGUAAAUAUAUAUUAUAUGGAAACUAAAUAAAAGAUAACUUGAAAAUAGAGGCAAUUUAGGUAUUAGGAAGGGUACUCGUAGGAGGGGAGUGAGUAGAGAAGGUAGAAGGGAAGGUGGACAUGAUCAAUGCACUGUUAUACACGUGUAUGGAAAUGCCAUACAGAAACUCAUUAAUUUGGAAUAUAAAUGUGUUAAUAAAAUAUAAUUUUGCAUUUUAUUACUUAUACAUCAUUUAUAUGUGAAAUAUAAUACAAAAAUAAAAUUUACCACUCUAUUAAAAAUUAAAAGUAAAUUAAUGGAAAAAAUAAGUCAUUCUGUUCACAUUUGCAUAACAGAAGAUUUAUUCCAUCUAAAUCAGAGCAGUUUUUAAUGUCAAUGGGAAGAAUCUAUAAUACACUUUUUUCUCCUCCUCCCAAAUAUAUCUACAGUUACACAACAACAAAAAAAGGAAAUGUACGUUGUCCCAUUAUCCAAGUCCCAUUCCCUAAGAAAGGCAUUUUAAUGGCUUAUACUUUUAUGCUUACAGUGGUUUCCUCUUCAUCAAUGGUUUUGUUUUCCAUAGUUUCAGUUACCAAUUAUUUCUAAAAAUUAUUCUUACCCUUUUCAACAACCUGACAUAAACCAUCAAUUUUCCAAAGUUCAUAAAGCUGCUAUUCAAUGCAUGCACCCACUGGAUCAAAAAAAAAAUUACUGAAGAUACAGAUGAUAUUUCAAAUACUGAGGAAACCAAGAGGAGCAACAUACUGAGGCAGGAUCUGACUCUUCCAUAGAAAAAAACACUUUAAAAAACAGUCACAAUAAAUUAUGUAUGUAUCCUUUACAUGCUCCCCCAAAAGAUUACAUACUAAUUACAUGAAAAUACUUCCCUGGGCUGGGUUUGUAGCUCAGUGGUAGAGCACUUGGCUAGCACAUGUGAGGUACAGGGUUCGAUCCUUAGCACCACAUAAAAAUUAAAUAAAGGUAUUGUGUCCAUCCACAACUAAAAAUUUUUUUUUUAAAAAAAGUAGAAGAAGAAGAAAAAAUAGUCCCUUAAUGAUAGCUGAAGAAUAGCCCCAGGAACACUAUAGAAUAUAUUCUUAUUUUUGUCAUGUUUCUGAUUACUGAAGUUCUGUUUUGAAAUAAGGGGCAUUUCUAAUCUACAUAUUUUGUUCAUCUCAUACUACUUUAAAAUUAUUCAGGACAUUUAAUAAACAAAUAUUCCUCAGAAAAUAUGGCAACUCAAAUAGCUAAGAUUUCCUUGAGGAUGAAAACUUAAGACAAAAAUUCACCUCUAAGAAAUCAGUCCUUGAAGAAACACUGUUGCAGGGCUGGCAGAGCUCUCAGAAAAACAACUCAAACAAGCCAAUGAAAUAGGCAAAUGAAAGACAAGUUAAAGGAAAAAAGACCCGGAAAUUUAGACCAAAAGGGGAGAGGAGGAAACAGAUAAUGACCAGAUAAAGCCACUAUUAGAACAAUAAUUAUUCAUUUUUCUUACAUAGUAUAAAGAAAUAAAAACCAUACUAUAGCCUAAUAAGAUUAUAUAACAAUUAAGCACUAGAAAAGACUCUAGGGAAUCACUUCUUUCUUUGCAAAGAUUAAGGAAACUGAGGCCCAGAAAAACAAAAUGACUUAUUCAAGGUCACAAGUACCUUAUCUGAGGUCACAAAGCUCACUUAAUAAAACAUGAAAUAAAAUAUAAGUUUUCCAACUCUUAGAUGAGAGACCCAAUCCAUAUUUCAAAAACAACAAUCAGAUGAGCAUUACCUCAUCUUUGAAGCCUCCUCCAUUUGUAUUUAUCCUGGUACUCCUUACCCUCCCAACUUGGUAAAACUGAACAAGUAUUUAUGUUCCUUUUGAAAGUUAAAACCUUUUACCAUGCGCUUUUCUCCACAUCAAAAACUCUGCUUUGUAUAAUUGUACCUUCUCUAUAUGAUCAUUCAUAUCAACAAAGAAGCUCUAAUGAAACUGAUGUUUGACUCCAUGUCCUAUAAUAUUUACAACCCAAUUUCUCUAUUCUAAUUUUCCGAUUAAUUUUUUUGAAAAGUAAUCUAUAAUCUAGAAUGUAAACUCCACCUGGUUUUCAACAAUUAUUUUCUUUGGAACACACACUUGUCAAGUUUUCAUGCCCACCACUCCACUGAGAUAGCUUUUGCCAAGAUCAUGAGAUUCAUCUUCCUAAAUCCAAUAGUCAAUUUUCUAUCCUAUUCCUACUUGAUGUCACAGCAGUGUUUGAACCAUUCCCUCUCUUAGCUUUUUGCUACUGUGAAAAAAGACCUAAGAAAAUCAACACAGAGAAGGAAAGAUUUAUAUAGCUCAGUUUCAGAGGUUUCACUUCACAGUCUGGCUCCGUGGCUGUGGGCUUGUGAUGAGGCAGAACAUUAAGGUAGAGAAUAUGUGAUGGAGCAAAACUGCUCACCUCAUAGUGGCCAGAGAGCAGAGAGAAAGAGAGGAGCUAGAGUCAAGAUAUAUGCUUCUAGGACAUGACCCCCCAUCUAGUGACCUACCUCUCCCAACUAGUCCCCACUUCCUAAAGUUUCCACCACAUCUCAAGAGUACCACCAGCUAGGGACCGAGCCAACACAGGGGCUUGUGAGAGAUACUCCAGAUUCAACCCAUAUCACCCUCCCCUUCUUAAAACAUUCUCUUUUCUUAGUUUUCAUAGCCAUCUGCUUUUUUGGUUUUCUUACUACCCCACUGUUCCUGUUCUCUAAAUGCUAGAAUACCCAUGGCACCACACACUUGUCCUCUUUAUGUACACUCUCUCUUAGGUGAUCACAUCUAAAUCUGACUUCCAGACUGAUAUAUCCACCUUCCUAUUUGACAAAUCAUUUCAAAUUUACAUUUUCAAAACUCAAAUGGCCAUCUGUCUCCUUUCUACUUCAACUCUUCCCUAUCUCAUUAAGUAGCAUCUCCAUCUACUUAAUUACUCACGUCACAAAUUUAGGAUCAUGCUGGAUUUCUUUUUCCCCACACAUAAUAUACCAAGUCAUCCACAAAUCCUGGUGGUUUAAUCUCCAAAAUAUAUUCCAGAUCUGACUAUUUCUUACCAUUUUAACUGCUAGAGCCCAAGUCUGAGUCAUCACUUGCAAUUCAAGUUCUCACUUGCAAUUCUGCUAUAGCCUCCUAAUACCAUGCUUUCAAGCUUCAAUUUCCAGCCAGUUCUUUGCACAGCAGUCAGAAAAUGCAACUUGAAACAGAUCAGAUAGCACUGUUCUCCUGCUUAAUAUACUUCAAUGGCCUCCUAAGGCCAUAAGAUUCCUUGAGGUCUACAAAUUUUUAUAAGAUUCAGCACUUCUGCCUCCUCCUCCACCCUUAUCUCAUGCUACUCCUCCCAUCUCUCCUUUCAAGCAAGAUGAUCUUCUGUGCUUCCAACAUGCCAAGCCUCUGUACAUGCUGCACCCUCUACCUAGAAUUUCAAAGGUGGCUCCUUCUCUUAUUCCUUUUCUCAACACAAAUGCUACCUUCUCAAAAUCAGCUCCACUUGCAUGUCUAUUAAACUGAGUUCAUUAACUCUAUCCUAUUACUCAGUUUUGUUUUCUUCAUAGACCUGUCACCACUACAAAUCAUCUUACAUUUAUAACCUUACCAGUCCUACUAAAUGUGAGACCCAUGCAAACAGAAAUCAUGUCAUUAUCAUUACCAUGAUAAUGAUAAUGACACCACUACGCAUUAUUUGUGAAAAGAAUGGUUAUUCCACAAUGCUUUUCCAAACAAGAUAUCAACAGUUUAAUUUAAUAAAAUUUACCUUUUUUGUUUUAAAGGAAAUGUUAAAUUUUCCCUCUUUCAAAAUAAUUGCCUAAGACAUAAAUAAAUCUCUAAAAUUCCUGAGAGAAAAGUUAGCAAAUCAAAUUUUUGCUCAGAAACUCUGCCAUCAUUAAGUUGGAAUAUUUUUUUUUCUGGACAUAAAUAACGAGAGACCUAACAGGGAUUCAGAAUGAUAAAUUUUAGCUGCAUUUAUAUUAAUAAUUUCUACUUGACUAAUAAAAUCUAGUUAUAUUAUUAAAUGAAUUUUUUCUCUGAAAAGAAAAAAAAUUAUCUAGGUUAACAGGUAGCACACUGAAGAUUUAUACACUGUGUAGUUCUCCAACUAAUUAAACCUAAUUCACUGUGACCAGGAUUGAAUCAGUAACUAGUUAUUUAUCUGUUUUUCCUAUUGAUGUGUGGCUGAGUGGGGGUUGGGUAAUGUAGCUUCUUUUCUAAAACUGGCCUAGAGUGUUACUACAGCAGUGAUAGAAAACUGUCAAAUCUAAUACUUGUCAUUUUUUAUCCCAAAAUAAACUCCUUUUUAAAAAAAUUUCAAGCAAUUAUUACACCUAGCAGGUCAGGAAAAUAAAGAUUAACAAAAAUUCUUUCAGUGCUAGAAUAUUUCCUUUAUAUUCAGUCUCAAAUGAAACAAAGUAAAUCUACAGUAUAUAAUAUCAUAAUCAUAUCUUAUUUACAUGAUUCAAAGAAAGGCUUUUGAUUUUUUUAAGUUUUUUUUUCAUUUUAAGAGGGGAAACUGCAUACAACAAAGAAUUCUUAAUGCCUUGACAUAUUCCUAUGCUAAGUUUCUUUAUAUGAAACACUGUUGCCUUGCUACCUUUGCUUUUGGUAAAAGAGCUCACCCAAAAGGCAGCUGGUGAGUAAAAUGAAAAUAAACUAAAAAAAAGAUACAAACAAGGAGUUCUCUUUCCCCCAAAACAAAAGGAAGUUUCUACAGAUGAGAUAAAGGUAAAAGCUAUAUUGCUACAUUAAAACUACAACUGCUUAUUCUACAAAACAGAAAAGAUUAAGAAACAAAUAAACCAAGUAAAGUUUUCUCAUUUCUUUAUUUACAUGUUCCUUCAUAUUUAUAAACAAUCUUCUUGUCCUACUACAUUUAUUUUCACAAUAACUACUCUUCCUUAAAAAUCAAACUAUGUUAAAAUAAAACUUUGUAAAACAUCUAAAAAAUUAAAACUGUGUGUAGAUUUUAAGUAUGACUUUAAAUAGUGUCACUCAGAUCAUGGUAAAUGCUAGAUUUAAAAUUCAAGGUAUUAUCAGUUCCUUUUAAACAGCAUUUUGAAAUAACGGGUCAAAUGAAAGCAUCUUUGCUGCAGUAUAUAUUCUUAGAGUUUAGUCAGUCAAAUGAAGUCAUCACAAAACCUCCCUUCAUUCAAACAUAAAACAUUUGCUUACAACCUAAACUACACAUGAAGUGGAAAUACCAAAUGAGUAAGAUGAUUCUUCUUCUUCUUCUUUCUUUCUUUCUUUCUUUCUUUUUUUAGUUAUACAUGGGCACAAUAUCUUUGUUUAGUUAUUUUUAUGUGGUGCUGAGGGUGGAACCUAGUGCCUCAUAUAUGUGAGGCAAGCACUCUGUCACUGAGCCACAACCCCAGCCCUAUACUUCUGCUGUCCUCCCAUUCAGAAACUCUUGCCAAGAAGAGAAAGAUAAUGUAACAGAGUAUAAGAACUUAUGAUGUAAAAGGAAGUAUAAGCGGCUAAGUAAACACAGAACCAAGAUAAAAGAAAACUUUGGGAAGCUUUCCACAGGAAAUAAUACCUAAAUUGAGUCUCAGGGUAUUAGUAGAAGUUAUGCAUAAAUGUAACUUUAGGGGACAGGCUGUAAUUUUAGGGGAAUGGGUGUUUAAUGAGGUUAGUAAAAGAAAGUAGUAGGUAAGGGAAGACCUUGUUUCUACAAGAGGAAGCAGCAUAUGCAAAAGUUAAAGGCAUAAGGAGACCACAGUAUAUUAUCAAGCUGCAAAUAGUUUACAAUUCUGUUGUCUAAUACUGUGACUACUAAGCACUUGAAAUGUAGCUCAUCAGAAUUGAGAUAUGCUGUAAAAGUUAGUAACUUAUUACUAAUCAAUGUCGGUAUUCUGUCCCAGGCCACAGAGUAAAUAAAAGAGAGAUUUAAAUUCAGGUGAACAGAACCAGUUAAAACAAUGUACCCAGGUUCAUUCAACAUACAUAACACAAGGCUGAGUGUCCACUUCAAUUAACUUACGCCAAAAGGCAUAGUUUUUGCUAUCUUCCUUUUAUCCCAUGCCUGAAUGAUGUUUUAAAAAUUCACAACCUAGACAACAGUGCCUUUCCACUCCAAUCAUGGUCUAGUAACAAUAAACCUGUUAUCCCCGAGGUACCAAAAGUCUCCCCCUUCUUGGUACCGUCCCUUCUGAACCAUCUUGAGUCUCUACAGGCCUCCUGGGUUUUGUUUAUUGUUAAUAACUUUAAUCGCUUCGUUAGAUCUGCUUGCUUCCUUCUCCUCCCAACAAAUAAACCUGCCUUUUCCAAUUCUUUCUCCUAAUUUGCCAGUUCCCCAUCUGCCUGUCAGCCUCCUCUCCUCCCAACUCUCCCAGCUGCCGAGAUUAUUCUCUUACGACUUUCUUCUCUCCCAGGUCCCCAAAUCCUCCCUCAUCCCUAAUCCUUUCAAACUCCCUGCUUUAAUAAUUCCGCUUGCAAUCCCAUCCUCAAGCGUCCGGUGGUCAGCUUCCCCUCCGCCCAACCCGUCUCUCCUCGCACCCGGGCCUACCCUGGUCUCCACGCCCUCCCCAAACCCAACCCUCCUGGGCUCCUCAGGAGACCAACGCGGCGUCCCGCCUCCUUGCCUGCCUUCACUGGACCGAAUUCCUAGCCGGGACCCCGGCGUCUAGCCGCCAAAGUGCGGGUGCCAGGCUCCUGCGGAAGCUGCGGGUGGAUGCCGCGGUUGCCGGGGUGCGGGAAGUUUGAACACUGGGAAGGGGUAGGGGCGGGGACGGCGGCUCCAGGGUGGCAGCGGUAAGGCGACUUCGGCUCCAGGGUAACGGAGGCGGAGGCCCAGACUGCACCGCGGGAUUCCCUCAGCCAAUGAUGCUUCUCGCCGGGUUCCCAUUGGCCUCUCUUUCCAGAUGGCCUUUUCUAUUGGUUUCAGUGAAAUUGGAAGGCGGGACGACGAAUGCGACAGAAGACGGCUAUUGGUCGAUCGCUCUAGCUGUAACAGCGCUCGCGAAGGAGGGUGUUCGCCGCGAAGCUCCUCGCGCUUGAGGAGCGUAGGGGUCUGUGCUCCGGAAAGCGCUACUGGGAAGCUUUUCCGGCCCUUUGUGAUGGGGGAAGAACGCGGGCGGAGGGGAGUAGCAUUCGUGAAAUGAAAUGUAAAAUUGGCGACUGCGUAAUUAAAAAGCAUUGGAAAUAACAUGGUUUUAAAUGAGUCAGAAAAAAAAUUAUAAGUGGCUCGUACUUCUCGGUCUCUGCAGAUUUUCUCUUUCCUGAUUUUCAGAAGCAUUUGAGGUUGGUGUAUUAAUGCGCCUGUGGUAAGGUUUGGGCCUUCGUCAAUGACGAACAUGCCUUAAAUUUGGCUUUUUAGGUUGUGAAACAGGUUUGCAGUGGAACGGUUUUUGAAAUACACUUGCACACUCUGCUUUUUAAAGGAAGUGUACUAAAGUGCAUGUUAGUAGCCUAAGACUUGUUCUAUGCUGUAUUUUCCCCCUUUAAACGUCAGCGGUGCUUUAAAAAGCAUUAAGUACAGAAGGUAGGAAACAAUAAAAAGAAAAUCCUCUUAAGGAUUUUAAAUCUCUCUAAGCCUUCUCAUCAAGAUGAUUUAACCCCAUACUCUGCUGCUUUUGCAGUUCAUUUCUCACUGGAUUUUUACCUGCAGAAAAUCCAAUUCUGGAGUGCAAAAUGGUUUGUGGGAAACACAUAAGUACCUGGGUGGAGCAACUUUGGAUCUAAUGAGGGAAACAAUGAGAGGACCAGGUCCUGUAGCAGAAGACAGACAAAAGACUCAGCAACCAUGUAAAAAAACAAAAAGCCACGCUGCAAUAGGUUGGCAACAUGUGGACCGACCAAUUGCUCCUGUCUCUCCAGCAACCCAUAAGAGGGAGGCCAUUCAAAAAGAACCAGGCUCCAGGUGACAUGCCAGCUGAAUGCAGCCACAUAAACUGCUGUCAUUUGGAUAUUGAGAGUCCCCCAAAGGUCCUCGUGUUAUAAAGGCUUGGUCCUCAGGGAGUCCCUUUUGGGGUAUGCUGUGGAUAUUUAGGAGGUGGGGUAAGUAGGAGACCUUUAUGUCAUUUUGUUUGUGCCUUGAAGGGGAUUGUGGGAUCCUGGCUUCUUCCUCUGCUUCUUUUAGUCCCUGGCCAUAGGGUGAGUAGUUUGCUCCUCCACUUGCUCCCCACCAUUACCAUCUGACACCCACACCAUAGAUCUAAAAGCAAUGGGUCCAUGUGACCAUGGACUAGGACUUCAAUGAUUAUGAGCCAAAAGAAACGUUUUCUCUUUACAAGUUAAUUUUCUUGGGUAUUUUGUUAGAGUGAGGGAAAACUGAAUAAUACACAUGCUACAUGUGUCUUCUGCAAUUUGCUCUUUUCUCAGAUUCUGUUUGUAAGAUUUAUCCAUUAUGAUACAAAUAGCUCUAUUUAUUCUUUCUAAAAAUAAAAUUAACUUUUUAUUUCGGAAUGAUUUUAUAUUUACAGAAAAGUUGCAAAAUGCAGAGAGAGUAGAACAUUCUCCCAACUUAUCCCUAUUCCAAUCUAGUGCAGGAUUUCAUAUUACAUUUAGGAUUUAUCUUUUGUUCUUGUGUAUGAAUAUAUUAAAAUUCACUUUUCCAUUGUUAUGUUGAUGAAUAUUUAGAUUUUUUCCAAUGUUUUAUUAAUAUUACUGGUGAUUUUUUUAAUAUCAAAGUAAUAUUACUGGUGAUAUUACUUUGUGUAUCUGCGUGAUGUCUUUGUGCACACAUGAAAUUUAUCACAAAUAUAUCAGAUGACAACUCUACACUAUCACAAAUAUAUCAAAGCUCCCAUUGCUAAUCUUUCCAAAUCUUGGUAUCAUCAAACUACGUUUUUACUAAUUUUAUGAGUCUGAGAUAGCAUCCAUUUUUAUUUUGAUGUACUUUUUUUUUAACUACUGGUGAGAUUGAACAUUUUUCAUGUUUCCUAUUGUGUACUCAGUCAUGUCUGUUGUUAUUUGAUUGUAUUGAUUUGUAGAAGUUUAAUGUAUAUGUAUACUCACUCUACACUAAAUUUUUAUUGGCCGUAUGCAUUGCAAAUAUUUUCUUUAUUAGUGACUUCUCUCGAUUUUUAAGAAAUGAUAUCUUU
Molecule: non-coding RNA, 9800 nt
Organism: Ictidomys tridecemlineatus (thirteen-lined ground squirrel)
Lineage: Eukaryota; Metazoa; Chordata; Mammalia; Rodentia; Sciuridae
Source: RefSeq, a predicted model, not a curated record